GACGAACGCUGGCGGCGUGCCUAAUACAUGCAAGUAGAACGCUGAAGCGAGGAGCUUGCUCUUCUUGGAUGAGUUGCGAACGGGUGAGUAACGCGUAGGUAACCUGCCUUGUAGCGGGGGAUAACUAUUGGAAACGAUAGCUAAUACCGCAUAACAAUGGAUGACACAUGUCAUUUAUUUGAAAGGGGCAAUUGCUCCACUACAAGAUGGACCUGCGUUGUAUUAGCUAGUAGGUGAGGUAACGGCUCACCUAGGCGACGAUACAUAGCCGACCUGAGAGGGUGAUCGGCCACACUGGGACUGAGACACGGCCCAGACUCCUACGGGAGGCAACAGUAGGGAAUCUUCGGCAAUGGGGGCAACCCUGACCGAGCAACGCCGCGUGAGUGAAGAAGGUUUUCGGAUCGUAAAGCUCUGUUGUAAGUCAAGAACGAGUGUGAGAGUGGAAAGUUCACACUGUGACGGUAGCUUACCAGAAAGGGACGGCUAACUACGUG
Molecule: ribosomal RNA, 497 nt
Filed under: uncultured bacterium
Lineage: Bacteria
Description: partial 16S ribosomal RNA
Rfam family: Bacterial small subunit ribosomal RNA
Source: RNAcentral